AACUCGCUGUGAAGAUGCAGUGUACCCGCGGCAAGACGGAAAGACCCCGUGAACCUUUACUAUAGCUUGACACUGAACAUUGAGCCUUGAUGUGUAGGAUAGGUGGGAGGCUUUGAAGUGUGGACGCCAGUCUGCAUGGAGCCGACCUUGAAAUACCACCCUUUAAUGUUUGAUGUUCUAACGUUGACCCGUAAUCCGGGUUGCGGACAGUGUCUGGUGGGUAGUUUGACUGGGGCGGUCUCCUCCUAAAGAGUAACGGAGGAGCACGAAGGUUGGCUAAUCCUGGUCGGACAUCAGGAGGUUAGUGCAAUGGCAUAAGCCAGCUUGACUGCGAGCGUGACGGCGCGAGCAGGUGCGAAAGCAGGUCAUAGUGAUCCGGUGGUUCUGAAUGGAAGGGCCAUCGCUCAACGGAUAAAAGGUACUCCGGGGAUAACAGGCUGAUACCGCCCAAGAGUUCAUAUCGACGGCGGUGUUUGGCACCUCGAUGUCGGCUCAUCACAUCCUGGGGCUGAAGUAGGUCCCAAGGGUAUGGCUGUUCGCCAUUUAAAGUGGUACGCGAGCUGGGUUUAGAACGUCGUGAGACAGUUCGGUCCCUAUCUGCCGUGGGCGCUGGAGAACUGAGGGGGGCUGCUCCUAGUACGAGAGGACCGGAGUGGACGCAUCACUGGUGUUCGGGUUGUCAUGCCAAUGGCACUGCCCGGUAGCUAAAUGCGGAAGAGAUAAGUGCUGAAAGCAUCUAAGCACGAAACUUGCCCCGAGAUGAGUUCUCCCUGACUCCUUGAGAGUCCUGAAGGAACGUUGAAGACGACGACGUUGAUAGGCCGGGUGUGUAAGCGCAGCGAUGCGUUGAGCUAACCGGUACUAAUGAACCGUGAGG
This 877-nucleotide ribosomal RNA is filed under the name Escherichia coli. RNAcentral describes it as "partial 23S ribosomal RNA". It matches the Rfam family "Bacterial large subunit ribosomal RNA", at positions 2045 to 2916 of the family's 2925-position model. RNAcentral also lists the same sequence under 1 other name. The record is from RNAcentral. Lineage: Bacteria; Pseudomonadati; Pseudomonadota; Gammaproteobacteria; Enterobacterales; Enterobacteriaceae.